Molecule: ribosomal RNA, 253 nt
Filed under: uncultured bacterium
Lineage: Bacteria
Description: partial 16S ribosomal RNA
Rfam family: Bacterial small subunit ribosomal RNA
Source: RNAcentral
UACGUAGGGGGCAAGCGUUGUCCGGAAUCAUUGGGCGUAAAGAGCGUGUAGGCGGUUAGGUAGGUCCGUUGUGAAAACUCGAGGCUCAACCUCGAGACGCCGAUGGAAACCAUCUAACUAGAGUCCGGAAGAGGAGAGUGGAAUUCCUGGUGUAGCGGUGAAAUGCGUAGAUAUCAGGAGGAACACCGGUGGCGAAGGCGGGUCUCUGGGCCGAUACUGACGCUGAGGAGCGAAAGCGUGGGGAGCGAACAGG